Long non-coding RNA from Rhea pennata, 1645 nucleotides. RefSeq lists it as uncharacterized. The transcript is spliced from 4 exons. NCBI's taxonomy places the organism in Eukaryota, Metazoa, Chordata, Aves, Rheiformes, Rheidae. The record is from RefSeq and is a predicted model, not a curated record.
GGGGCCGCGGCCUGCGCGGCGCCGGCGGCGGCGCCUCCGACAGCCGCCGCUGCCGUGCGGAGUCCGCCCUAAGCUCGUGUUCGGGGGCGCAAGAGGUGCAAACGCGGAGGUGGUGCUGCUCCUGGUAACCCUAGCUCACACCUGCAGAUGUCUGACUGCGUGCUCUGCUGCAGCGCUGGAGACCCCGUCCGCGACAGAUUUUGUGUCAAGCGUGGAGUUUUGGCUGAGGGAUUUCUGUGAGCUUCUCCAGAGGAUAUAAGAUAGAAUACUGAGACAUGACGGAUCAGAGUUGCUCUUCCUUGGAGCCUGUGUUUUGACAUUGGGCUUGCAGAGCUGUCCAGUUUUCUGAGCAGAGGAGAUUCCAAAGGUGACUCCCAUUUUAUGCUCCCUCCGCCUACUUUGAAUGUUUGACUCAACUCAAGAAAAUGAUACGAUCAGAGCCCCCUUUCCUGACAUCAUAACACAAUGGGGAUAGUGAACUGAUGGAGUGAAGAAGAGCAUCUGCAGGAAGUGCUGGCGAUAGCAACGUGCUGCUCAACUACCCAGGCCCUAUGAAAGUGAAAGUAGUCCUGCGUGUCCUGGUCCCUAUGGAACUUUGGUCAGUGGAACUCUGCUCUGCUAGGCUUUCCACUGCAACGUGACAUUUCUCAGGAGACAUACAUGACUGCCUUAAUGUUUUUCACUUGUCCUCUGCCAAAUUAUUCUCUCUCAAUUUGUUCAUUGGCUUUCUCUAGCAUUUGGAAUUUUUUUUUUCCCUGUGAUUGGUCUAUAAAAUCCAUCUGAUAGGCAGGAAGAGAGUAAAAUGUUCUCUUUCUUCAAGGCAAGUAGGAUUGGAUUUCUUUUUUGGCUUAUUUUCCAAGAGAUAGAAUGAUAUUGUAGUACUUUCCAGAGCAAAUCAACCCAGUCAUUGAGCUAACAAUUUUUACAAAGCUCAGCCAGUAUCAACCCGUUUUUUCAAAUUAAGAUGUGGCUCCAUAAGUGAUUUGGCCAAAGGUCACUCUGACAGUAACCUGUGGUCAUGUAAUGAAACAUGACUUUGUGCCUCGAAGCUCCAGAAGAAUGUACUAUUCUGAAGUUUGCAGUUAGCUCAUGCUAUCUCAUUUGAAGAUUUAUUGCCAUACCUCACUGCCAGCAGUACUGGAGAUAAUAUAGUGUGAUGCCAAGUCAGCCACCUGGUUGAGGAGCUGGAAAGUUUUUGUUUAUUAUAACUCACUGAAAAGAUAACACUAGCAGUAGAGUAUGCAUGCUAAUGCAUAAUAAACCCAUGAAACCCUCCUGUUCAUCUCCUGCUAACAAAACAAUUAUUGAUUUCCAAGGAAGCACUAUGUCAGUGAAACAAGCAGGAUUCAGUCUAAGUAAACUUGGUUCUAUAAGUGUACAGAAUACAGGACUUCUCUAAGGAAACUGUCAUCUUAACUACAUGGCUGAAUGCUAGGCCAUGCAAAGUCAGUAGCAUUGGUCACAAUACUGUCUCUCACUUCAGUGAGAGACAGCAUUUCACUUGGAACAGAAGAAAAAAAUGGCUCAGUGGACUGUGUCUAGAAAGUGGAGCCAGGAGAACUCGUAUGUGCUUCUGGCUGACUAGCUGCAUGACCUUAAUGACAUUGAAUCUUUGUGCCUCAAAUAUAAAGCGUAUCUUUCUUUG